CCUAAUUACUGGGCUACUGCACCCAAAAUUUUUCUUAAUCCAACAUCGAGGUCGCAAUCUGCUUUGUCGAUAUGAGCUCUCAAAAACAAUUACGCUGUUAUCCCUAAGGUAACUUAAUCUUAUGAUCAUAAAUUAUGGAUCAAAACAACAAACAUAAAUAAAUGAUAUAAUAAUGAAGAGUUUAUUCAUUCUUCAUGUCACCCCUACAAAACAUCAUCAUUAAAUAUAGAAAGACAAACAAAAACUAUAUAAAAAAAAUGUUAAGCUCUAUAGGGUCUUCUCGUCCUAAAGAAAAAUUUAAGCCUUUUGAGUCAAAAGUUAAAUUCAAAAAUUUAUUAAGAGACAGUUGAUUUCUCGUCAAGCCAUUCAUUCCAGCCACUAAUUAAGAGACUAAUGAUUAUGUUACCUUUGCACGGUCAAAAUAA
This is a long non-coding RNA of Schistocerca cancellata (South American locust), 425 nucleotides long. RefSeq lists it as uncharacterized. The record is from RefSeq and is a predicted model, not a curated record. Lineage: Eukaryota; Metazoa; Arthropoda; Insecta; Orthoptera; Acrididae. The transcript has 2 exons.